Molecule: ribosomal RNA, 270 nt
Filed under: uncultured archaeon
Lineage: Archaea
Description: partial 16S ribosomal RNA
Rfam family: Archaeal small subunit ribosomal RNA
Source: RNAcentral
CUGCAGCCCGAGUGGUGAUCGAUUUUAUUGAGCCUAAAGCGUCCGUAGCCGGACUAGUAAACUCUUGGGUAAAUUGGGCAGCUUAACUGUCCAAAUUCCGAGGGGACUGCUAGUCUUGGGACCGGGAGAGGUCAGAGGUACUCAGGGGGUAGGGGCUAAAUCCUGUAAUCCUUUGGGGACCACCAGUGGCGAAGGCGUCUGACUAGAACGGAUCCGACGGUAAGGGACGAAACCCUGGGGCGCGAACCGGAUUAGAGACCCGAGUAGUCC